CGGGACACGUGGUAUCCUGUCUGAAUAUGGGGGGACCAUCCUCCAAGGCUAAAUACUCCUGACUGACCGAUAGUGAACCAGUACCGUGAGGGAAAGGCGAAAAGAACCCCGGCGAGGGGAGUGAAAAAGAACCUGAAACCGUGUACGUACAAGCAGUGGGAGCACGCUUAGGCGUGUGACUGCGUACCUUUUGUAUAAUGGGUCAGCGACUUAUAUUCUGUAGCAAGGUUAACCGAAUAGGGGAGCCGAAGGGAAACCGAGUCUUAACUGGGCGUUAAGUUGCAGGGUAUAGACCCGAAACCCGGUGAUCUAGCCAUGGGCAGGUUGAAGGUUGGGUAACACUAACUGGAGGACCGAACCGACUAAUGUUGAAAAAUUAGCGGAUGACUUGUGGCUGGGGGUGAAAGGCCAAUCAAACCGGGAGAUAGCUGGUUCUCCCCGAAAGCUAUUUAGGUAGCGCCUCGUGAAUUCAUCUCCGGGGGUAGAGCACUGUUUCGGCAAGGGGGUCAUCCCGACUUACCAACCCGAUGCAAACUGCGAAUACCGGAGAAUGUUAUCACGGGAGACACACGGCGGGUGCUAACGUCCGUCGUGAAGAGGGAAACAACCCAGACCGCCAGCUAAGGUCCCAAAGUCAUGGUUAAGUGGGAAACGAUGUGGGAAGGCCCAGACAGCCAGGAUGUUGGCUUAGAAGCAGCCAUCAUUUAAAGAAAGCGUAAUAGCUCACUGGUCGAGUCGGCCUGCGCGGAAGAUGUAACGGGGCUAAACCAUGCACCGAAGCUGCGGCAGCGACGCUGAUGCGUUGUUGGGUAGGGGAGCGUUCUGUAAGCCUGUGAAGGUGUGCUGUGAGGCAUGCUGGAGGUAUCAGAAGUGCGAAUGCUGACAUAAGUAACGAUAAAGCGGGUGAAAAGCCCGCUCGCCGGAAGACCAAGGGUUCCUGUCCAACGUUAAUCGGGGCAGGGUGAGUCGACCCCUAAGGCGAGGCCGAAAGGCGUAGUCGAUGGGAAACAGGUUAAUAUUCCUGUACUUGGUGUUACUGCGAAGGGGGGACGGAGAAGGCUAUGUUGGCCGGGCGACGGUUGUCCCGGUUUAAGCGUGUAGGCUGGUUUUCCAGGCAAAUCCGGAAAAUCAAGGCUGAGGCGUGAUGACGAGGCACUACGGUGCUGAAGCAACAAAUGCCCUGCUUCCAGGAAAAGCCUCUAAGCAUCAGGUAACAUCAAAUCGUACCCCAAACCGACACAGGUGGUCAGGUAGAGAAUACCAAGGCGCUUGAGAGAACUCGGGUGAAGGAACUAGGCAAAAUGGUGCCGUAACUUCGGGAGAAGGCACGCUGAUAUGUAGGUGAAGUCCCUCGCGGAUGGAGCUGAAAUCAGUCGAAGAUACCAGCUGGCUGCAACUGUUUAUUAAAAACACAGCACUGUGCAAACACGAAAGUGGACGUAUACGGUGUGACGCCUGCCCGGUGCCGGAAGGUUAAUUGAUGGGGUCAGCGCAAGCGAAGCUCUUGAUCGAAGCCCCGGUAAACGGCGGCCGUAACUAUAACGGUCCUAAGGUAGCGAAAUUCCUUGUCGGGUAAGUUCCGACCUGCACGAAUGGCGUAAUGAUGGCCAGGCUGUCUCCACCCGAGACUCAGUGAAAUUGAACUCGCUGUGAAGAUGCAGUGUACCCGCGGCAAGACGGAAAGACCCCGUGAACCUUUACUAUAGCUUGACACUGAACAUUGAGCCUUGAUGUGUAGGAUAGGUGGGAGGCUUUGAAGUGUGGACGCCAGUCUGCAUGGAGCCGGCCUUGAAAUACCACCCUUUAAUGUUUGAUGUUCUAACGUUGACCCGUGAUCCGGGUUGCGGACAGUGUCUGGUGGGUAGUUUGACUGGGGCGGUCUCCUCCUAAAGAGUAACGGAGGAGCACGAAGGUUGGCUAAUCCUGGUCGGACAUCAGGAGGUUAGUGCAAUGGCAUAAGCCAGCUUGACUGCGAGCGUGACGGCGCGAGCAGGUGCGAAAGCAGGUCAUAGUGAUCCGGUGGUUCUGAAUGGAAGGGCCAUCGCUCAACGGAUAAAAGGUACUCCGGGGAUAACAGGCUGAUACCGCCCAAGAGUUCAUAUCGACGGCGGUGUUUGGCACCUCGAUGUCGGCUCAUCACAUCCUGGGGCUGAAGUAGGUCCCAAGGGUAUGGCUGUUCGCCAUUUAAAGUGGUACGCGAGCUGGGUUUAGAACGUCGUGAGACAGUUCGGUCCCUAUCUGCCGUGGGCGCUGGAGAACUGAGGGGGGCUGCUCCUAGUACGAGAGGACCGGAGUGGACGCAUCACUGGUGUUCGGGUUGUCAUGCCAAUGGCACUGCCCGGUAGCUAAAUGCGGAAGAGAUAAGUGCUGAAAGCAUCUAAGCACGAAACUUGCCCCGAGAUGAGUUCUCCCUGACUCCUUGAGAGUCCUGAAGGAACGUUGAAGACGACGACGUUGAUAGGCCGGGUGUGUAAGCGCAGCGAUGCGUUGAGCUAACCGGUACUAAUGAACCGUGAGG
RNAcentral lists this ribosomal RNA (2518 nucleotides) under Escherichia coli. Its description in RNAcentral is "partial 23S ribosomal RNA". It matches the Rfam family "Bacterial large subunit ribosomal RNA", at positions 418 to 2915 of the family's 2925-position model. Lineage: Bacteria; Pseudomonadati; Pseudomonadota; Gammaproteobacteria; Enterobacterales; Enterobacteriaceae. The record is from RNAcentral.